Molecule: small nucleolar RNA, 159 nt
Organism: Lepisosteus oculatus (spotted gar)
Lineage: Eukaryota; Metazoa; Chordata; Actinopteri; Semionotiformes; Lepisosteidae
Source: Ensembl
GUGCAUGUUGCAGCCUCUCCUGGGCUGCACCCAGUCCGUCUCCCUCUCUCUAUAGGAAGUGCGGACGACUAAGUGACAUGCUAUAGAAAAUCACAUGGAGUUAACAGGGCCACCAGUCUACCAGAGGAGUCUGAGUGGUAGUAUAAUACUCCAACACUG